Molecule: long non-coding RNA, 184 nt
Organism: Hibiscus syriacus
Lineage: Eukaryota; Viridiplantae; Streptophyta; Magnoliopsida; Malvales; Malvaceae
Exons: 2
Source: RefSeq, a predicted model, not a curated record
AGCAAAUAUCAGAUCUGUUUUCUGAUACAAAAUUAUGUUCUAACAAGAGUUUCAAUUCCAUGUCUGAGAAACAAAAAUGCAUACCACUUCCUGCUAACAAUAAUCUUUUGACGACCGGGAAACUUGAACUUUGCACGGCGGAGGGCCUCCUGUGCAUGGUGGCUGUUGCUGUCCUUGCAACGAA